Molecule: long non-coding RNA, 166 nt
Organism: Peromyscus californicus insignis
Lineage: Eukaryota; Metazoa; Chordata; Mammalia; Rodentia; Cricetidae
Exons: 3
Source: RefSeq, a predicted model, not a curated record
CAGUGAAGUAAGAACUCCAGGAGAGCUACAAUCGCUACUUAAAAAGCCUGUCCAGAUCAGUACAGUGAAUGCAGGAACUGAACUGAAGACUCCAAUCAGCAAAAGAACAUCUGCCAAGGAGCCAGAACAGAGAAACAAAGAGCAUUUGAGACUCAACAGAGGUAAG